UACGUAGGGUGCGAGCGUUGUCCGGAAUUAUUGGGCGUAAAGAGCUCGUAGGCGGUUUGUCGCGUCGACUGUGAAAACCCGAGGCUUAACCUCGGGCCUGCAGUCGAUACGGGCAGACUAGAGUUCGGUAGGGGAGACUGGAAUUCCUGGUGUAGCGGUGAAAUGCGUAGAUAUCUGGAGGAAUACCGGUGGCGAAGGCGGCAUCCUGGACCGGCAUUGACGCUGAACAGCGAAAGCUAGGGGAGCGAACAGG
Molecule: ribosomal RNA, 253 nt
Filed under: uncultured bacterium
Lineage: Bacteria
Description: partial 16S ribosomal RNA
Rfam family: Bacterial small subunit ribosomal RNA
Source: RNAcentral